Hyla sarda is the source of this 1162-nucleotide long non-coding RNA. RefSeq lists it as uncharacterized. The record is from RefSeq and is a predicted model, not a curated record. The transcript is spliced from 6 exons. Lineage: Eukaryota; Metazoa; Chordata; Amphibia; Anura; Hylidae.
UUUCAUGAAGUUUUUUUUAGCAGCUGUUCUAAUUUUUUGUGAAGUAGAAAAAUGGAGCAACACUACAGAAAAAAAAGAUGCAGUUAAAACCUAUAACUACUGUAUGACCUUAUGGCCUCCUCCUACCUGUAUAAAGAUAUUGGUCAGUGCCAUAUAAAUCAUAGACGACAGUCGGCUUCUGAUCCCGGUCCACCACUCCAUUCAACAAAGUCCUCCCUGUGACAGAUGAUUUUUUGUUAUGUCUGUACCUUCCUCCUCAAUAGGUGUUAAUUCCCAGACGGGAGCCAUGAAAGGAUAUGAUUUCGGCAGAUAGGAAGUGAACCCGGUGACUGGCAGGGAAUAGAUGACUAACAGGUUCGGCCGGUACCUAUGUACAAAAGAUUGGCAGCAGGUCCCACUGGAACAAACCUCUGUCUACAAAACUUAACAACACAUCAUUGACGAUCUUGUCCUCACUAAAACAAUAGACACUUUGGAAAACCAUGAAUGCAGCAAAACUAUUUUAGAUGUUCUGACUGCUGGGUAUGCUGCAAUUUUGAGAAUGGGGACCCAAGUUGUCCGUCAGCAGAGAGCAGCGGUCGCAACCUGCUUUAACUUUACAGACGUCCUUUAAGAAAAGAAUAUGGUCUACCAACAUAAAUCAUCUUCCGUAUGACCCGCCUCAACAAAGUGUUUGGACACAGGUUUGAUAAACAGAUCUGUGACCAACCGAUCAUCUUUAACCAUGACCAGCGUAUCCAGAAACUGUACUGAUUCCAUUGAGGAGGUAAGAGUAAAAGAAAUGUGAUCAUCCAUGUUAUUUAAAAAUGUCAGAAAAUCAAGUAGCUGUGUGUGAGUACCCGUCCAGAUAAGAAAUACGUCGUCUAUAAAGCGCCACCACCCCAGCACAUGGCUGAAGUGGUGGCACGGAUAGACAAAGGUUUCCUCCAGGGCCGCCAUGAACACGUUGGUGUAAGUGGGCAUCAUGUUCGUUCCUAUGGCGGUCCCGGAGAGCUGUAAAUAAAAUUUGUUGUUGAAUGAAAAAUAGUUGUUCUUCAAUACAAUUUCUAGUAAAGACAUAAUAAAAGCACAUUUCUCUGGUGUAAAGUCUGGUGUAAUGGCCUGUCGCACUGCCUCCACCCCCGCCUCAUAUGGGAUCGAGGUGUAUAACGAGGCUACAUCC